Molecule: ribozyme, 76 nt
Filed under: Crocodylus porosus (Australian saltwater crocodile)
Lineage: Eukaryota; Metazoa; Chordata; Crocodylia; Crocodylidae
Description: Mammalian CPEB3 ribozyme (ENSCPRG00005007372.1)
Rfam family: Mammalian CPEB3 ribozyme
About the family: The mammalian CPEB3 ribozyme is a self cleaving RNA located in the second intron of the CPEB3 gene which belongs to a family of genes regulating messenger RNA polyadenylation. This ribozyme is highly conserved and found only in mammals.
Source: Rfam by way of RNAcentral
AGUUGCAAGUUUGAGGCCAUAGCGGAAGUGCUUAUGGCAUGACCUGUCAGAUUCUAAUGAAUCUGCGAAUUCUGCC